CACAGAGGAGCUUGCUCCUUGGGUGACGAGUGGCGGACGGGUGAGUAAUGUCUGGUAAAACUGCCCGAUGGAGGGGGAUAACUACUGGAAACGGUAGCUAAUACCGCAUAACGUCGCAAGACCAAAGAGGGGGACCUUCGGGCCUCUUGCCAUCGGAUGUGCCCAGAUGGGAUUAGCUAGUAGGUGGGGUAACGGCUCACCUAGGCGACGAUCCCUAGCUGGUCUGAGAGGAUGACCAGCCACACUGGAACUGAGACACGGUCCAGACUCCUACGGGAGGCAGCAGUGGGGAAUAUUGCACAAUGGGCGCAAGCCUGAUGCAGCCAUGCCGCGUGUAUGAAGAAGGCCUUCGGGUUGUAAAGUACUUUCAGCGAGGAGGAAGGCGUUGUGGUUAAUAACCUUAACGAUUGACGUUACUCGCAGAAGAAGCACCGGCUAACUCCGUGCCAGCAGCCGCGGUAAUACGGAGGGUGCAAGCGUUAAUCGGAAUUACUGGGCGUAAAGCGCACGCAGGCGGUCUGUCAAGUCGGAUGUGAAAUCCCCGGGCUCAACCUGGGAACUGCAUCCGAA
RNAcentral lists this ribosomal RNA (570 nucleotides) under bacterium RBM-B26. Its description in RNAcentral is "bacterial SSU rRNA". It matches the Rfam family "Bacterial small subunit ribosomal RNA", at positions 69 to 631 of the family's 1533-position model. The record is from RNAcentral.